RNAcentral lists this ribosomal RNA (660 nucleotides) under uncultured fungus. RNAcentral describes it as "eukaryotic LSU rRNA". It matches the Rfam family "Eukaryotic large subunit ribosomal RNA", at positions 24 to 664 of the family's 3401-position model. Lineage: Eukaryota; Fungi. The record is from RNAcentral.
CCCGCUGAACUUAAGCAUAUCAAUAAGCGGAGGAAAAGAAACCAACAGGGAUUGCCUUAGUAACGGCGAGUGAAGCGGCAACAGCUCAAAUUUGAAAUCUGGCUCUUUUAGGGUCCGAGUUGUAAUUUGCAGAAGAUGCUUUGAGUGUGGCUCCGGUCUAAGUUCCUUGGAACAGGACGUCAUAGAGGGUGAGAAUCCCGUACGUGACUGGGUGCCUUCGCUCGUGUAAAGCUCUUUCGACGAGUCGAGUUGUUUGGGAAUGCAGCUCAAAAUGGGUGGUAAAUUUCAUCUAAAGCUAAAUAUUGGCCAGAGACCGAUAGCGCACAAGUAGAGUGAUCGAAAGAUGAAAAGCACUUUGGAAAGAGAGUUAAACAGUACGUGAAAUUGUUGAAAGGGAAACGUUUGAAGUCAGUCGCGUCGGCCGAGACUCAGCCUUGCUUCCGCUCGGUGCACUUCUCGGUUGACGGGUCAGCAUCAAUUUCGACCGCCGGAUAAAGGUUGAGGGAACGUGACAUCUUUCGAGGUGUGUUAUAGCCCUUGAUUCGCAUACGGCGAUUGGGAUUGAGGAACUCAGCGCGCCUUUAUGGUCGGGGUAGCAACCCACGUAACGCGCUCAGGAUGCUGGCAUAAUGGCUUUAAGCGACCCGUCUUGAAACACGG